This is a small nucleolar RNA of Eutrema salsugineum, 173 nucleotides long. It matches the Rfam family "small nucleolar RNA snoR127". The record is from Rfam. NCBI's taxonomy places the organism in Eukaryota, Viridiplantae, Streptophyta, Magnoliopsida, Brassicales, Brassicaceae.
CUGGAGUGAUGAUUCUUAGCCAAAUCAGAUACGUGCUCCAAGAGGCACUUUGCUGGGUUUCUUGAGUUGAGUCACCAUAAUGAUCUCCUUUGGAACCCUAAUAGCUAAUAGUGUGCCUCUUGUUGUAGUAUGUCUUGGAUGAUACCACAGAGAUGGGUAAAAGUCUGACCAGA